CAGCUCCAAGAGCGUAUAUUAAUACUGCUGUAGUUAAAACGCCCGUAGUAUACCUAAGAGUGGGUGUGUAGCAAUUAGUUUUACCAGAGGACGGUUGGCGAGAGUUUAUCACUCUUGUUUGCCUACUUUUGGUAGACUUUAGUCGGGCUGGAUCUUUGGUCCUCGUCUGACAGUUGCUACGUGCUUACUUACCACGGUUCAUCCGUGAGGCCCUUGGCUUGCAACUGUAAAUAAAUCGUUGUGCUUAAAGCGGGCUAUGAUACUCUGCCAGAGCGAUUUAGCAUGGGACUGCAGAGUAGCUGUAUUUGAGUGAAGGUUGCACCUCGGUGUGGCUGGAGCUUGGUACAGCGCUUGUAAUGGAGCUCAGGGUGAGGCCCCGGGUACCAUGAGGCUAGAGGUGAAAUUCUGAGACCCUCAUGUGACCAACUAAGGCGAAAGCUGUCGUGGGCCACCACAAGCUCGUCUAUCAGGGACGAAAGUUGGGGGAUCGAAGACGAUUAGAUACCGUCGUAGUCCCAGCUAUAAACGAUACCAACCGAGUAUUUGGGAAGACACUAUCCCAGCGAUCUUCUCAGAACUCAAGGGAAACCUUAAGUCUUUGGGUUCUGGGGGGAGUAUAGUCGCAAGACCGAAACUUAAAGGAAUUGACGGAAAGGCACCACCAGGAGUGGAGUCUGCGGCUUAAUUCGACUCAACACGGGGAAACUCACCAGGUCAGGACACAAGUUUGAUUGACAGGUUAAUAGCCCUUUCUUGAUUGUGUGGUGGGUAGUGCAUGGCCGUUUCCAGUUCGUGGAGUGAUCUGUCUUGUUAAUUCAGAUAACGAACGAGACCUAAGCCUUUAACUAGCCGUAGGCCUUUUCCUUCGGGGAAGGGUUAGUUUGUCGGAACAGGCUUCGGUCUGUUCCAAAACCUACGAGACUUUUGUCAGCUUCUUAAAGGGACUUCAUUCGUAAACUAGGAUGAGGAAGAUUUAGGCCAUAACAGGUCUGUGAUGCUCUUAGAUGUCCUGGGCUGCACGCGUACUACAAUAACGGUACCAGCGAGCGCUAUGGUUUUAUAACCCCUUAUCCUAAUAGGAUUGGGAAAACUUUUCAAACACCGUUAUGACAGGGAUCGAGGAUUGGAACAUCCUCGUGAACGAGGAAUUCCUAGUAAGCGUGGUUCAUCAUACCACAUUGAUUACGUCCCUGCCUUUUGUACACACCGCCCGUCGCUCCUACCGAUGGGACGAAGAGAUGAACCUGGCGGACCGAACCGCAAGGUAAGGGAAACCAGUUAAAUCUCUUCGUCUGAGGAAGGAAAA
This 1306-nucleotide ribosomal RNA is filed under the name Naegleria sp. F1-9. RNAcentral's name for it is "SSU rRNA". It matches the Rfam family "Eukaryotic small subunit ribosomal RNA", at positions 586 to 1787 of the family's 1831-position model. The record is from RNAcentral. Lineage: Eukaryota; Heterolobosea; Eutetramitea; Acrasida; Naegleriidae.